GCACCCGUAGCUCAACUGGAUAGAGCAAUGGCCUACGGAGCCAUAGGUUGGGGGUUCGAAUCCCUCCGGGUGUA
Molecule: transfer RNA, 74 nt
Filed under: Planctomycetia bacterium
Lineage: Bacteria; Pseudomonadati; Planctomycetota; Planctomycetia
Description: tRNA-Arg
Rfam family: tRNA
About the family: Transfer RNA (tRNA) molecules are approximately 80 nucleotides in length. Their secondary structure includes four short double-helical elements and three loops (D, anti-codon, and T loops).
Source: RNAcentral